Molecule: ribosomal RNA, 260 nt
Filed under: uncultured Staphylococcus sp.
Lineage: Bacteria; Bacillati; Bacillota; Bacilli; Caryophanales; Staphylococcaceae
Description: partial 16S ribosomal RNA
Rfam family: Bacterial small subunit ribosomal RNA
Source: RNAcentral
CGGGGUGAGUAACACGUGGAUAACCUACCUAUAAGACUGGGAUAACUUCGGGAAACCGGAGCUAAUACCGGAUAAUAUAUUGAACCGCAUGGUUCAAUAGUGAAAGGCGGUUUUGAUGUCACUUAUAGAUGGAUCCGCGCUGCAUUAGCUAGUUGGUAAGGUAACGGCUUACCAAGGCAACGAUGCGUAGCCGACAUGAGAGGGUGAUCGGCCACACUGGAACUGAGACACGGUCCAGACUCCUACGGGAGGCAGCAGCC